RNAcentral lists this long non-coding RNA (2771 nucleotides) under Manihot esculenta (cassava). RNAcentral's name for it is "long non-coding RNA (MESC_LNC006821)". The record is from RNAcentral. Lineage: Eukaryota; Viridiplantae; Streptophyta; Magnoliopsida; Malpighiales; Euphorbiaceae.
UGUCCCAAGUUCGGACCUCUAGUUCGAACUGAUGAUGAUGAUGAUGCAUUUGCUUGCCCCUGUAAUGCUUGUGGAGUGUGCUCCAGUGUUUCUUCUUGCACCUGUACUGCCUCAUCUGUUUCAUUUAUAGAGAGCUGCUGGCUAUGUCCUCUACCUCUAGAUGAUACUGCUCUUCGAGGCAUCUAAAAAAAAUAAUAGUCCAUAAGUUUAAAUUAACAAUAAAGACAAACAAUAUAUAAAACCAUAAUCAAAUAUUAAAACAAACAAUAAAGACAAACAAACAAUAUAUAUUAUCCAAUUAUUACAGUGUAACAGAAUUGAGUAGAUGUUGACAACACCAAAUUGACCUCUGCUUGUGAAAGGUAGAAUCUCUGGUGCUCUACUAGUGUCUUCUUAUUAUUAUCACAAAGGCAGUGGCCAAUCAAUUGAAUUCCAACCAUAUCAUGAGAGAAAGUUUCUAGCUAUAUGGUACAUCCAGUUUUUUUUUUUUUCAAAUUGUGCAAGUCAUAAUCAAUCCUCUAUCUCUCUCUCUGUAUAUAUCUAUCUAUCUCUCAUAGCAACGUAUCUGCUUGUACAGUUAGCUAGCCUAUGUCCGUAAUUUAAUUGUAAUUUUAAGUGGAUUUAUUAGCUUCAAAGUUUGGUAACCCAGCAGUAGAAACAUUGGAGAAAUGCUCAAUGACACGAACCAGGUGGAUGAAUAGUCCAUAAAAAAAUGCAGAAGUUUGAUGGGUUUAUAAGAAAGAAAUCUUCAAUCUGUCAACUUAACAAAAUUGACUAUUAUUUACCAUAUGUAAAAUAUUGUAAAAAUUUACUAUAUAUAUAUAUAUAUAUAUAUAUAAUUUCUUUUCUUAAUUGAAUAUAAUAUAAAAAUUUUACUAUUAAUUUAACUGAUUUUCUUUUAUAUAAUAAAUUAUAAUUUAUUUUUUCCUUUAGUUGCCCUGUUAAGCCCAUUUUCAUGUAACCUCUUUUGAAUUGGCUUCAUACAUAAGCCUCUCAUUGCUUGCUGAAAUGAAAUUUAUCUAUUUAUUGACAAAAAAUUAAAAAAGAAAAAGAAAACUCGCAAUCCCUUUUAACUAAUUAGACAAUUCGAAUAAAAAUAGGAAAAUCUGGCUAACAAAAUUCCUUCCCACCACAGAGAAAAAAUAGGAAAAGUGAAAGAAACCACAAGAGGAUAACAAGAAAAUGAAAAUUUUUACUACAGUGUUAUCUCUAUGGACAGAAUUUUUUUUUUUUUUCUAACAGAGAAAAUGUUUUUCAUUAUGCCCAUAUAAAUUGUAUUAUUGGGUAUUACAAGAGAAUUUAUGGGAUAGAUGCAAUUUUUAGACUUAUUCUGCAGAAAAAAGAACACAAUGUGGUUAUCCUUUCUCGCCAUUCAAAAUUUUCUUUUACCAUUUUCAAUGCAAGUACAUAGCUUUCCUUUCGAUUUCAUCACAUAACAUAAACCCAAAAGAAAAUAAAAAGCUGUAGCAUUGGAUUUUCACCUUGAAAUGCUCAAGAUGUGGAAACAAUUAAACAAACAUAUUUGCAUUAUGUUAGAGUUUUUCUUCCUCGUUUGACUCCAAAUUCAUAAGCUUGUGGAUUUGAACUUUUACCCUUCUGUUAAUUCCCCCAACCCUUUUCAGUUCAUAAUUAAAAUGGAUAUAUACAGUAAUAAGGAAAUGAAAAGCAGAAAUCUGGCCUUUUCUUCUUUAGAUUAGGUCCAAAUGUGUUCUAUAUGUUAUUGCACUAGAAGUCCAUUCUACUCUAGAAUUUUUACCUUUAUGUAUGAUAUUUGUGAGAUUUCUUAUCUGCCAUUUUUAAUUUCCUUUCUACUCCGGCUGAAAAGGUUUCAAGUAAAAUUUCUGGCAAACCACCAAACCAUGUUAAAGUAGUUGAGACUUUUAAAUGGAGAUAAGAAGGAUUUAUAAAUGCAAUCUCAUCUGAGCCAAGAUCCAUUGCCCAUAAAGGCUAAACCAGUUCCACCAUCCUUUUAUGAAACCAUUUCCUUUACCUAUACAUAAUUAUACCCCACACCCAUCUACCAUACCAUUCUUGUUCUGCUUCACCAAAUUUCCUAGAGAUUAUGCAUUAAUUCUGUUGUUGGGAGAUUUUGAGCAAAUACCAAGUGUUUUUCUUCAUAACCCAGAAUUUAAAUCCCUUUCCCUUAUGCUUAAACAUGCCUCUUAAUCAUCAAACACAUAUGGAAAAAUUAAUAUUAAUUUAAUAGUUUAAUAUUAGGAGUGCAACAGUGCCUUGCAAGUUAUUUGAAACUUCCCAUUUGAAUUUUAAAUAAAAAUAUAAUACAAGGAGAGACACACAAAAGCACCUCUUUUAUCGUGAACAGAUCUAAGAUAAAGGGAAAUAAAUAAAUAACUGAGAAAUAAAAAAAAAUCAAGAGGAUUGCAAAUCUACCAUAAAAUCUGAAUAAAUAGACAAACGGUAUCAAAGAAAUUAUGGAAUUAAGUACUAUAUUUAAAAGAAACUUGUUACCUUCAGCAAUCAGAGUUUUUUUUCGUUGAACAACAAUCGGAGUAUGUAGAGCGACAGAGAGCAAAAUGAUCGGUUGAUUUGUACUGAGAAUUAAAGCCAAAUUGAAUUCCCACACAAUUGAUCCAACUAAAAGAUCUUAGGGAUAGAGAGGGGAGAGAGGCGUCGACGGAUAGAGGGAGAGAGGGAAGCAAUUAGGGAUAGAGAGGCAGAGAGGGAAGCAAUUAGGGAUAGUGAGGGAGAGACGGAGAGAGGGAGAGAGGGCGCCGACAGGGAGAGACGAAUAGAGAGGGAGAGACGAAUAG